GACGAACGCUGGCGGCGUGCUUAACACAUGCAAGUCGAACGGAAAGGCCCUGCUUUUGUGGGGUGCUCGAGUGGCGAACGGGUGAGUAACACGUGAGUAACCUGCCCUUGACUUUGGGAUAACUUCAGGAAACUGGGGCUAAUACCGGAUAGGAGCUCCUGCUGCAUGGUGGGGGUUGGAAAGUUUCGGCGGUUGGGGAUGGACUCGCGGCUUAUCAGCUUGUUGGUGGGGUAGUGGCUUACCAAGGCUUUGACGGGUAGCCGGCCUGAGAGGGUGACCGGCCACAUUGGGACUGAGAUACGGCCCAGACUCCUACGGGAGGCAGCAGUGGGGAAUGUUGCACAAUGGGCGGAAGCCUGAUGCAGCAACGCCGCGUGCGGGAUGACGGCCUUCGGGUUGUAAACCGCUUUCGCCUGUGACGAAGCGUGAGUGACGGUAAUGGGUAAAGAAGCACCGGCUAACUACGUGCCAGCAGCCACGGUGAUACGUAGGGUGCGAGCGUUGUCCGGAUUUAUUGGGCGUAAAGGGCUCGUAGGUGGUUGAUCGCGUCGGAAGUGUAAUCUUGGGGCUUAACCCUGAGCGUGCUUUCGAUACGGGUUGACUUGAGGAAGGUAGGGGAGAAUGAAAUUCCUGGUGGAGCGGUGGAAUGCGCAGAUAUCAGGAGGAACACCAGUGGCGAAGGCGGUUCUCUGGGCCUUUCCUGACGCUGAGGAGCGAAAGCGUGGGGAGCGAACAGGCUUAGAUACCCUGGUAGUCCACGCUGUAAACGGUGGGUACUAGGUGUGGGGUCCAUUCCACGGGUUCCGUGCCGUAGCUAACGCUUUAAGUACCCCGCCUGGGGAGUACGGCCGCAAGGCUAAAACUCAAAGGAAUUGACGGGGCCCCGCACAAGCGGCGGAGCAUGCGGAUUAAUUCGAUGCAACGCGUAGAACCUUACCUGGGUUUGACAUGGAUCGGGAGUGCUCAGAGAUGGGUGUGCCUCUUUUGGGGUCGGUUCACAGGUGGUGCAUGGCUGUCGUCAGCUCGUGUCGUGAGAUGUUGGGUUAAGUCCCGCAACGAGCGCAACCCUUGUUCACUGUUGCCAGCACGUUAUGGUGGGGACUCAGUGGAGACCGCCGGGGUCAACUCGGAGGAAGGUGGGGAUGACGUCAAGUCAUCAUGCCCCUUAUGUCCAGGGCUUCACGCAUGCUACAAUGGCUGGUACAGAGAGUGGCGAGCCUGUGAGGGUGAGCGAAUCUCGGAAAGCCGGUCUCAGUUCGGAUUGGGGUCUGCAACUCGACCUCAUGAAGUCGGAGUCGCUAGUAAUCGCAGAUCAGCAACGCUGCGGUGAAUACGUUCCCGGGGCU
This 1346-nucleotide ribosomal RNA is filed under the name uncultured bacterium. RNAcentral describes it as "partial 16S ribosomal RNA". It matches the Rfam family "Bacterial small subunit ribosomal RNA", at positions 28 to 1381 of the family's 1533-position model. The record is from RNAcentral.